GGAAUCGAUGACCCGGUCUCGGGCCGGGAUGUUCACAACCCUUUGUUGUCCGACUCUGUUGCCUCCGGGGCGACCCUGCCUCCGGGCGGGGGCCCCGGGUGGACAUUUCAAACUCUUGCGUAACUUUGCAGUCUGAGUAAAUUUAAUUAAUAAAUUAAAACUUUCAACAACGGAUCUCUUGGUUCUGGCAUCGAUGAAGAACGCAGCGAAAUGCGAUAAGUAAUGUGAAUUGCAGAAUUCAGUGAAUCAUCGAAUCUUUGAACGCACAUUGCGCCCCCUGGUAUUCCGGGGGGCAUGCCUGUUCGAGCGUCAUUUCACCACUCAAGCCUCGCUUGGUAUUGGGCGACGCGGUCCGCCGCGCGCCUCAAAUCGACCGGCUGGGUCUUUCGUCCCCUCAGCGUUGUGGAAACUAUUCGCUAAAGGGUGCCGCGGGAGGCCACGCCGUGAAACAACCCCAUUUCUAAGGUUGACCUCGGAUCAGGUAGGGAUACCCGCUGAACUUAAGCAUAUCAAUAAGCGGAGGAA
RNAcentral lists this ribosomal RNA (525 nucleotides) under Cladosporium sphaerospermum. RNAcentral describes it as "eukaryotic LSU rRNA". The stretch from base 159 to 312 matches the Rfam family "5.8S ribosomal RNA". Lineage: Eukaryota; Fungi; Ascomycota; Dothideomycetes; Cladosporiales; Cladosporiaceae. The record is from RNAcentral.